CUCAACUCGUCAAGGUUUAUCGAAAGGCAAAAGUUCGUCCAUCGACCGAAGCUGAAAAAAAAAACAAGCAGCAAAACUGCAUUCUGCUCACGUUUUUUUUCCAAUUCGGUACAUCAUCAUUUAUUCGGCGAAAACAAAGGUGUCACGUUUUGCCAGUUUUUCCAUUCCACGUGGCAAUUGGCAGCUGUAGAGGGAGAGGCACUAGACAUUGGUGCAUCUUUGGAACAACCUACCUCAAACCAUGCAACAUUAGGUCAUCUACCAACGAAAGUGAAACCGAAGAAAGUAAUGACAUUCUGUGAGAGAGAUGUUAAAAGGUGGUUGAGGACUUGCACAGAAAAAGGAGAAAAAAAAAGAAAACAAACGGAUUGCCGUUGCAAUUGAAGAGCACUUUAUGGAAGGAAAUAAGCACUAAGAGGCAAUCGCAAGCGAAAGUAUGCAAAAACACUUGACCUUGUUGGCAUUGCCUUUGAAUUUUCAACAAGAUACAAAGAAAAAAGAGCAUAAGUAUUUAACACAACACCUCUACCAGAGCUGCUAGGUUCGAUAUGAUUAGAAGUAUUUGAAAUUAUAUGGAAGCAAAUAUCCAUAACUAUUUUUGCUCCUAAUCCCAACUUAUCUUUUUUACAAAUUUGACCGAGUCAUGAAGCUCCGCGGUAACACUUCCAUCUCAUAA
Molecule: long non-coding RNA, 676 nt
Organism: Culex quinquefasciatus (southern house mosquito)
Lineage: Eukaryota; Metazoa; Arthropoda; Insecta; Diptera; Culicidae
Exons: 2
Source: RefSeq, a predicted model, not a curated record